Molecule: long non-coding RNA, 1168 nt
Organism: Magnolia sinica
Lineage: Eukaryota; Viridiplantae; Streptophyta; Magnoliopsida; Magnoliales; Magnoliaceae
Exons: 4
Source: RefSeq, a predicted model, not a curated record
CCACACUGAUCAAGCAACCCUACUUGUCCAAUUGAGGGCGAAAUGAGAUGAUUUCUAUCAUAUUUUCAGUGUAGUUUUUAGGAUUAUGCUCUGCCAGCAAUUCUGGAUUGCCAUAUGGCUGUGCCAUGUGCCAUGUUGAAGUGUCACCACUCACCACCAUUUUAAGUGGUGAACUAUAUGAAUCUACCCUUCUAGGUGGUGAUGCAUGAUGCAUCUUUUUGGUUUCACUGGUGCUAAUGGUUUAGCAAAUCCACAUCUAAGUCUCAUCCUUUUAUAGAUUGUCAGAUUCUAGUUUUUUUUUUUUCAAAUGUUAUUUUUUUUUCUUUUAAUUGUUGUUGUCAUUUUGUGGUGGAGCUUUUUCUGUUUUUGAAUUGUUAGUAGUGCUUUGAACUCGGAUACUGUUUCAUUUUCAUUUCUCUAAUAAUGUUUCUUAUCAGGUAUGAAAAUACUGUGUAUUUUCUUUUUAAUAUAAUUGUGCAUGUUUCUGAAUGGAGCUUGCACUUGUUGGUAUGAGGUGGUUUUGGUUCGCCCUCGAAAAAGGUGGGACUACGGUUUUUUUGCUUCUUUUACCAAUACAUUUUCUUUUGGCAACAUGUAUCCAAUCACCAGUGUAGUCUCUAACAUGCAUUUGAAUUUUUGGCUGGAAAAUUUUCUUCCUGCAACUUUGCACGCUGAGUAAUCGACCUCAGUUCGAGCUCUCCAGUUAGGCAGCAAUGUAGCAGUUUGUCCUCCAUGCUUGAUUAAGAAACACAUCAUUUGCAGUUUUUCUUUCAAAAGAAUAGAGAGAGCCAAAAGACUUCCUGGUGACCCAUGGGCUGAGUUAUGUCUAUUCCUAACAGAGCGAGCCAAAAGACCUCAAGUAGCCCAAAGGCCUAAUGACUAGGCACAUCCAAGCCUACCAUUCUUGGAUAUGUACUUCUCAUAAUCCAAGCACAUAAAAAGAGCUUGCGGCCGGCAUUGCCAUGCGAGAAGUCGUUGUGUGAGAAAGGUGGCCAAGCUCUAUUGUUUUACAGUGGAAUCUUCUUAAUGGUGUUGGGAGUGGGUGGGAUUCGAGGGGCACUUCCACCUCUAGGUGCAGAUCACUUUAACCAAAAGGAUUCCAAGGAGCUUUUUUUUUUUCUCUCGAUAGCAGGUACAUUUUUUAAAGAAAGCUCAGGGUCUGUCUUCU